Harmonia axyridis is the source of this 393-nucleotide long non-coding RNA. RefSeq lists it as uncharacterized. The record is from RefSeq and is a predicted model, not a curated record. Lineage: Eukaryota; Metazoa; Arthropoda; Insecta; Coleoptera; Coccinellidae. The transcript is spliced from 2 exons.
GUAGAAAAUGUAUAAAAAACCAAUUCAAACAAAUCGACUAGUUGACUUGGAAAAUUUUUACUACAAGUCUCGCAAUCAUUAUCGAAGUUAUUUUUAUAACUGCAAACUUCAUUGUGGAAAAUCAUGGACACUUCUAAGAUAAUUUGGAUGCACAUAAGUGGCUUCAUAGAAAUAGUUAUCUGCUCUAGUUAUAGUCUACCAAUUCGUAAUAUGGGAGGAGCUGUACCAAACUACUGGGGUUUUAUCGAUGGAACUAUUAUAGAAACUUGUUGACAAAGUAUCAUCACUAUGUAAAAUAUCAGUCUACUUUAUAUACUUGUUUGAAUGAAGCCAAUCAAGUAUUUCUUUUCAUGUAAAACCACCAGUAUUGGAAGAUUAUUUUGUUUAACAGUA